Molecule: ribosomal RNA, 479 nt
Filed under: uncultured bacterium
Lineage: Bacteria
Description: bacterial SSU rRNA
Rfam family: Bacterial small subunit ribosomal RNA
Source: RNAcentral
GAUGAACGCUAGCGGCAGGCCUAAUACAUGCAAGUCAGGGGUAAUUUUGCUUUCGGGCAGAAACGACCGGCGCACGGGUGCGUAACGCGUAUGCAACCUACCCACAACUGGGGGAUAGCCCGGAGAAAUCCGGAUUAAUACCCCAUAAUGCAGGGGUACUGCAUGGUACUAUUUGCUAAAGAUUUAUCGGUUGUGGAUGGGCAUGCGUCUGAUUAGUUAGUUGGUGAGGUAACGGCUCACCAAGGCGACGAUCAGUAGGGGGUCUGAGAGGAUGAUCCCCACACUGGUACUGAGAUACGGACCAGACUCCUACGGGAGGCAGCAGUAGGGAAUAUUGGUCAAUGGGCGGAAGCCUGAACCAGCCAUGCCGCGUGCAGGAUGACGGCCUUCUGGGUUGUAAACUGCUUUUAUCAGGGAAGAAAACGGCCAUGCGUGGCAGAUUGACGGUACCUGAAGAAUAAGCACCGGCUAACUCCGUG